RNAcentral lists this ribosomal RNA (500 nucleotides) under uncultured Porphyromonas sp. RNAcentral describes it as "bacterial SSU rRNA". It matches the Rfam family "Bacterial small subunit ribosomal RNA", at positions 16 to 507 of the family's 1533-position model. The record is from RNAcentral. Lineage: Bacteria; Pseudomonadati; Bacteroidota; Bacteroidia; Bacteroidales; Porphyromonadaceae.
UACCUGGCUCAGGAUGAACGCUAGCGAUAGGCUUAACACAUGUAAGUCGAGGGGCAGCAUGGCUUAGCUUGCUAAGACUGAUGGCGACCGGCGCACGGGUGCGUAACGCGUAUGCAACUUGCCUCACAGAGGGGAUAACCCGUCGAAAGACGGACUAAUACCGCGUACACUUAUCGGAGGGCAUCCUUUGGUAAGGAAAUGAAAUUCGCUGUGAGAUAGGCAUGCGUCCCAUUAGCUCGUUGGUGAGGUAACGGCUCACCAAGGCAACGAUGGGUAGGGGAACUGAGAGGUUGAACCCCCACACUGGUACUGAGACACGGACCAGACUCCUACGGGAGGCAGCAGUGAGGAAUAUUGGUCAAUGGGCGAGAGCCUGAACCAGCCAAGUCGCGUGAAGGAUGACUGCCUUAUGGAUUGUAAACUUCUUUUGUAGGGGAAUAAAGACUAGUACGUGUACUGGAGUGAAUGUACCCUACGAAUAAGCAUCGGCUAACUCCGUG